UGGGGAAUUUUGGACAAUGGGCGCAAGCCUGAUCCAGCAAUGCCGCGUGCAGGAUGAAGGCCUUCGGGUUGUAAACUGCUUUUGUACGGAACGAAACGGCUCUGUCUAAUACAUGGGGCUAAUGACGGUACCGUAAGAAUAAGCACCGGCUAACUACGUGCCAGCAGCCGCGGUAAUACGUAGGGUGCAAGCGUUAAUCGGAAUUACUGGGCGUAAAGCGUGCGCAGGCGGUGAUGUAAGACAGGUGUGAAAUCCCCGGGCUUAACCUGGGAAUUGCAUUUGUGACUGCAUGGCUGAGGUGGGGCAGAGGGGGCUGGAAUUCCGCGUGUAGAAGUGAAAUGCGUAGAUAUGGGGAGAAACACCGAUGGCGCAGGCACUCCCCUGGGCCUGCACUGACGCUCAUGCACGAGAGCGUGGGGAGCAAACA
RNAcentral lists this ribosomal RNA (427 nucleotides) under uncultured bacterium. RNAcentral's name for it is "bacterial SSU rRNA". It matches the Rfam family "Bacterial small subunit ribosomal RNA", at positions 355 to 774 of the family's 1533-position model. The record is from RNAcentral.